This is an RNA transcript of Motacilla alba alba, 3312 nucleotides long. It is a transcript of the gene named 5-hydroxytryptamine receptor 7, with no coding region annotated. The record is from RefSeq and is a predicted model, not a curated record. The transcript has 3 exons. NCBI's taxonomy places the organism in Eukaryota, Metazoa, Chordata, Aves, Passeriformes, Motacillidae.
UCCCGUCGCCUUCGGAAAGCAGCCGCGGGUGGGAGCGGGCGGUGGGCGCGGGUGGGAGGGAGCGGCCGCCACCCUCGCCGCCCCUCUGCCCGCGGGCUGGGGGCGAUAGCGCCGUGCCCAGCCCGCCCCUCUGCCCGCGAUGCGCCGCGGGCGAGCCCGGCUGCCCCGGGGGAAGUCGAAGGCCGGGCCCCCACGGGCCGCUCGGCCGGCUGCGAGGGGGCGGGCGGCGCCGGGCGCCCGAGGAGGAGCCCGAGCAUCCCGGCGCCGGGGACAGCCGGAGAGCGGGCGGCGAGGCUUCAUGGGCUGCUCACGCCAGCAUGGUGCUCGCCCUCAACGGCAGCCACCUCUACGGUAACCUGCGGCCCCUGGUCCUGGAGGAGCCGCGGGCGCUGGGCGGCGGCAGGAUGAUCGCCGGCUCCUGGCCCCCGCGCAGCCUGGCGAAGCUCGGCCCGUCGCCCCCCCCGUCGGCGCUGCCCACGGCGAGCCCCCUCCCCGCCAACGACUCCCAGUGCGGGGAGCAGAUCCUCAGCUACGGCAGCGCGGAGAAAGUUCUCAUCGGGGCCGUGCUCUGCCUCAUCACCCUGCUGACCAUCGCCGGCAACUGCCUGGUGGUCAUCUCCGUCUGCUUCGUGAAGAAGCUGCGGCAGCCCUCCAACUAUCUCAUCGUCUCGCUGGCCCUGGCCGAUCUCUCGGUGGCCCUGGCCGUCAUGCCCUUCGUCAGCGUCACCGACCUUAUCGGCGGCGAGUGGAUCUUCGGGCGCCUCUUCUGCAACGUCUUCAUCGCCAUGGAUGUCAUGUGCUGCACGGCCUCCAUCAUGACCCUCUGUGUGAUAAGUAUCGACAGGUACCUGGGAAUUACAAGACCCCUCACAUACCCUGUGAGGCAGAAUGGGAAGUGUAUGGCCAAAAUGAUCCUGUGUGUCUGGCUUUUAUCUGCCUCUAUCACCAUACCCCCGCUCUUCGGCUGGGCCCAGAACGUGAAUGAUGAAAAGGUUUGUCUCAUCAGUCAAGACUUUGGCUACACCAUUUACUCCACAGCAGUUGCAUUUUAUAUUCCAAUGUCAGUGAUGCUUUUCAUGUACUAUCAGAUUUAUAAAGCUGCCAGGAGGAGUGCUGCUAAACACAAGUUUUCUGGUUUUCCCCGUCUGGAAGAAAUGGAAGGGAUUUCUGUGAAUGGACUUGUAAAACUGCACAAGGAAUCUGAAGAAUGUACUAAUUUUUCACGACUCCUAAAGCAUGACAAGAAAAACAUUUCCAUCUUUAAAAGAGAGCAGAAAGCUGCCACCACCCUUGGGAUUAUUGUUGGGGCUUUCACAGUCUGCUGGCUGCCCUUUUUCCUCCUCUCAACUGCAAGGCCCUUCAUCUGUGGUACAGAGUGCAGCUGCAUCCCACUCUGGGUGGAGAGAACAUUUCUGUGGCUGGGCUAUGCAAACUCUCUCAUUAACCCUUUUAUCUAUGCCUUCUUCAACCGGGACCUGAGGACAACCUAUCGCAACCUGCUGCAGUGCAGAUACAGGAAUAUCAACCGCAAACUCUCGGCCGCAGGGAUGCACGAGGCUCUGAAGCUGGCAGAAAAGCCAGAGUUCGUUCUGUAAGGUCACUCAUCCUCUACUGUGAUCAUUUGUUGCUUUAUCACAUUGGCUUUUCCCCCACAGGUUCGAAAGAAGUGUUGUAGGAAGAACCAGAUGAGCACUGUUAAUGCAGUCAUCAGGAAACAAGGUAGAGCCCACCAGCCCUAAUCAGCCUGGAAAAGCAAGACCACCAUCUAAAGCAUUUGGGUGUAAGAGGAAUAAAAAAAAGGAUGGAAGUGAAAUGUAGCACAGGAUGUUUGAGCUGUUAGUGAGGGAAAAGCAAAGUUGGCCUAACGCCUUUGUUUGGCCCAAAAAAUGUUUAGUAGGUCUGAAUGUUGGGUGCACCUUGUGUCCCAGAGAUUCUUUGCUGUAAUAAAGACUUGAGAAUGGUGAAAAGUUAAUUUCCUUCCACUUCAGUAUUACAAAAAUAAAACAUUAAAGAAGAAGCUGAAUCAAGGAACUUUUAUUCCUUAGAAAUAUUCUUUAUUAUAAAACCCCAUAUGUUCAUUAAACAUUAAUUUACUGGAUUGCCUGGAAAAGAACUAUGUUGUGAAAUUCAAUAUUGCCUUUGCACAGCAACUCUGGCACUGAAAGAAUAUGUUGCACUUCCAAUGUGAUUAAAAGAGUUGGAGUAAAGUCACAUGGACCAGCAUCUACUGCUGCAUAGAGCCCUGCAGCGCAGUCAGCCGCAGUGCUGCCGUGCAAAUCACACCAGGAGAAGUUCUGAUUUCUCCAGGGAAAAAGAAUCAUGACCAAAUGUGCUUCAAAGCAGCCAGAAAAAGUUGAGCCAGACCAGGAAGAGGGAAAAUGAAGAGUUGGCUCCCGAAGAACUGGAUAGAUUUAUAAAAUGUACUUCAUCUUCCUUUGAUGGGAGUGUGCUAAAAAUAUUCCAUGAGCUCAAUACAUUACAUUAGAUGUAUUUCUAUUGGAAGUACCCACAUCUUGUUUGUUAUGGAGGAAAAUGCUGUAACAUACAAAUAAAAAUAGUUUUCUGCCUGAGAAAGACAAAUAAUUUCAGCAAUAAGUUUGACACGGGGUGGGGGGAAUGCCACUAAAACUCAAAGAUAAAGCCUUGUACAGAUUUCCACCACAUUUAACUAUGUAGAAAAACAUUUGUAUGUUUACCAUGCUUGUGGAUUCCAGCAUUGGAUUCAUAUUCAGGGACUGUCAGUGAUACUGAAUGUAUUUUGCUGUACUAAAAAAGAAGAGGUUUUCAGGCAAAUGCUGUCUCUGUGGAUGCUUUCAGAGCUUGUGUUAAAGAGAUGCUGUACACCUGCAACAGGAUUGAGAAUGACAACAAUAAAAGACCAAUUUUUGUUAAAGAUUUCUGUUGUAUUAAGUAAAUGUCUGUUACUUGUUGCAUACAUGUGGUUGGCUCUCCCAAACUUUUGUAGAAAGCUGCUUUCAGUUACACAGUGACGAAAGUUAAGGGACAAAAUUAGAAUGCACACGUAUUACACCACAGCUAAUUUCCAAAUAUGAUUGCUUUAAUGUAAUUUUCAUGACCUGCCAAUUUAUAAAUUUCUGUCAUUUCAAUUCAAAUAUAUAUAAAAGGCUGGAGAAUUUCCACAGCACUUGGCUUUUUGUCUUACUGGCUAGCUGGAGAGAGAAUUAAUUUUUUUCUUAAAUGUGUCUAAGAAGUGUUAUUUCUGCCAAUGGUUUGUUAUAAUUAAAAUUCUCUUUGGCUUGACAAAAACUGAAUAGGUGAGUAUAAAUGAUCAUUUUUCCCAGGGAAAAUUGA